GAUGAAGAACGUAGCGAAAUGCGAUAAGUAGUGUGAAUUGCAGAAUUCAGUGAAUCAUCGAAUCUUUGAACGCACAUUGCGCCCCUUGGUAUCCCGAGGGGCAUGCCUGUUCGAGCGUCAUUUCACCACUCAAGCCUGGCUUGGUGUUGGGCGACGUCCUCUUUGGGGACGCGCCUCGAAACGCUCGGCGGCGUGGCACCGGCUUUAAGCGUAGCAGAAUCUUUCGCUUUGGAAGUCGGGGCCCCGUCUGCCGGAAGACCUGCUCGCAAGGUUGACCUCGGAUCAGGCAGGGAUACCCGCUGAACUUAAGCAUAUCAAAAGCGGAGGA
RNAcentral lists this unclassified non-coding RNA (328 nucleotides) under soil metagenome. RNAcentral describes it as "partial contains 5.8S ribosomal RNA, internal transcribed spacer 2, and large subunit ribosomal RNA". The stretch from base 1 to 120 matches the Rfam family "5.8S ribosomal RNA", at positions 35 to 154 of the family's 154-position model. The record is from RNAcentral.